This 77-nucleotide transfer RNA is filed under the name Deltaproteobacteria bacterium. RNAcentral describes it as "tRNA-Arg". It matches the Rfam family "tRNA". Rfam says of the family: Transfer RNA (tRNA) molecules are approximately 80 nucleotides in length. Their secondary structure includes four short double-helical elements and three loops (D, anti-codon, and T loops). RNAcentral also lists the same sequence under 2 other names. Lineage: Bacteria; Pseudomonadati; Myxococcota; Myxococcia. The record is from RNAcentral.
GCGCCCAUAGCUCAGCUGGAUAGAGCGCCAGCCUUCUAAGCUGGAUGCCGCAGGUUCGAGUCCUGCUGGGCGCGCCA